AGUGUGUUGGCAGAAUAGUGCAAUUGAUUUAGGAUCAAUAUAUGGUAUUAACCACACACUA
This 61-nucleotide transfer RNA is filed under the name Metaphire hilgendorfi. RNAcentral describes it as "tRNA-Leu1". Lineage: Eukaryota; Metazoa; Annelida; Clitellata; Crassiclitellata; Megascolecidae. The record is from RNAcentral.